RNAcentral lists this long non-coding RNA (4228 nucleotides) under Podarcis lilfordi (Lilford's wall lizard). Lineage: Eukaryota; Metazoa; Chordata; Lepidosauria; Squamata; Lacertidae. The record is from RNAcentral.
GCAGAGGGAAGGAGGAGGAGGAUGGGGGCAAAGCCAGAUUUAGUUAGCUCUGUCUGCCCUUGGUGUGCGCAGCACUUGCUGUUGGCUUCCCCAUCUUCUGCCCAGUGGGCACAAACCUCCACUGACUAUAUGGGGCACUGAAGGUCUGUGAGAAAAAGAGCAUAUUUUAUUCCUGUUUCCUCCUGCUUUGCAUGACGGAGCAUCAAGUUUCCACCUCAAAUUUAAUGAAUAAAAAAAAAAAGUAUUUGAAACAAAAAAAAAUAUUUGUUUUAUGAAAUAAUGAUAUUGGAAACUGCUACAUUCAAAUUAAGAGGAAAUUCAGAUGGAGGAGAUUAGAGGAAGUCAACUAAAAUGUUUAUGGAAAUGGAUCUUAAUUAAUUAAUUGAGUUUCUUUUUUUCUGUUUAGGUAUGUUAAGUCUGUUAUUCUUUUUUAUUUUUUAUUUAUUGUGUUGUUGUGGUGUUGUUGUGUUGUUGGAUAUUCUCUUUUUUGUUAUGUCUAUUGAAAAUUAAUAAAUAUUAUUGUUUAAAAAAAAAGUAUUUGGGUCUUAGAAAGACUUGAGGCCUAGCCUGCCACUCAGAAUAGACCACGCUAAGCGGUGCUAGACAGACCAGUGGCCUGUUCAAUUCCAAUUCAAGGCAGCUCCAUUUUUCAUGUACAUGCAUCACAUUCUGCUGGUGUUUGCACUGCCUCAGUCUCCAGGGAUAAAAAUCACAAAGCCUAUAGAAAGCGUCCUGAGCCCAUGUUGUGCUCCCACAUGCUGUGAGAGACCUGGAACGCUCCCAGGAGUAACAAUAGACUGGCUGCCAAACAGUCCGAAAGUUUGUGUCUUCGGUCAGCCGUAAUCUAUGCCCAGUUCCCCCCACCCACCCGGCACUGUCUGCCCCUCUUGUGGGAAGGAACUGCAAAUUAAGCAGAAACACAACAAGCCAAAGUUACUGAAUUAAAAUAUCCAUUUUCUCCAGAAACCAUACCUUUGGGGGAUUUGGUAUUUAUCUGUUGCUGUAGUUUUACUUCCCUUCAGUGUCUGAAGUUAAUGUUUUAUGCCACAGGGGCAGCGGAUGGGAGUGGGAGGCAAAAGACCUUGGGAUGAGCACGAGAGAGGCUGAAUAAAUAGGUAUCCAGUGUGGGGUUUCAUCAGCAUAAAUUGGUUGAUGAGGGAUCAUUUAAAAAUUCCAUUAUGAGGCUGGUAAUUAUAUUCACACACUGUCACACUUUGAAAUUACCAUACUUUUCCGUGUAUAAGACUAGGUGUUUUUUUUUACUAAAAAUAAUGUUAAAAGGGGGGUAGUCUUAUACACAGGGGCAAUCUCCCCCCAUUUUCUUAAUUUUGAGUCCCCCAAAAUAGGGGGCAUCUUAUACAUGGAAAAAUACAGUAAUUGUUUGGGUUUAUUUUAUUUUUUAAAGUUGUCCUAUUGCCCCAUAAGAUAUAUGUGUAUUUUGCUAAAGCUGUUAACUCCAUUGUGUCCAAAAUUCACCAUUAAGCUAACUGUUUACUGGGUUAAUGGGUUUUUUCCCAUUAUUAAAAGGAAUUAAAAGUUGUUCAGUUCUUUUGUCCUUCAUCCAAAACAAUCUUUUCCAAUUUCGGAUGUUGUUUUUCUAUCCCUGACUAUUGUCCAUGCUGGCUGGGACUGUUGAGAGUUGGGUGUCCAAUAACCUCUGGAGGUCAGCAGGUCAGAGAUGGCUGUGUUAAAUAUGUGUGCACAUUUAGCACAUCUGAUUUGCUUUCUAAUCUAAGAAGCGGUCAUGGGAGGAAGAAUCAGGGUUGGGACUGUCAGGAGCUGUCAGCAGGAAGGGGCCCCACUGAAGACCUGGCUUCCUGGCCCUGACAGCGCUACCAGGUACCGAGAUUGUUCAGCAAUGGGACAGCAGGUCAGACAGCAUAGGAGCACCUGUAGGAACACUGGAUUGACUCCGUCAUGCACUGGCAGUGCCCUGAGCAUGUUACUGUACAUUCCUCUCCCUAGCUCUCUGGUGCCCCUGCUCCUAAUUUUCCAUAGCCUGGAGCAAUACUAGGAUAAAUAGUUCCCCAUAAGGAAGGGUUGUUGACAAGCUGCGGCAGCAUCAGAUUUGGGUAACUCUAGGGCGUCGGGUGUUAUCUUUGUCCAGGCCAGAUGGACCACCCAAGUGAUGCUAUUCUAGGACUAGAACUGGGUGCUCAUGGCUCUGUGUAAAUCAGUUUUUCCCAAACUUAGGUCUCCAGCUGUUGUUGAACUACAGCUCCCAUCAUCCCUAUCUAGCAGGACCAGUGGUCAAGGAUGAGGGGAACUGUAGUCCAAAAAUAGAUGGAGACCCAAGUUUGGGAAACCCUGGUGUAGACCAUGCCUUGGCCAGUCCAAGACGCUUAGCUACCUGGCCCAAGUAGAAGGCACUGUACAGAACUGCAGGUUGAAUCUAGUGGUGUGUUAUCCAGAAACUGACAGAAUUGCCCUUCCAUCCUCUCAGCUCAGCUCUCAGUAAGGCCAGCCCAUAACAUAAUUCAGAAAUGUUUCCUCCCAUGAAUGAAGGGACGGAGGACAGAAUCCACAGUAAAGCAAGAUCAAAGCCCUGCAAUUUGGUGCCAUGAGCUUUAUGACACACACCUUUCUGUGUCUGGUGUGAUCCUUUGAGUGCAUUUUGUGGUCUAAAUAAAAGGUGGAGUUGUCACCUUCCAACACCACCUUGAAAGGGACCCUGCUGGAUUUGAGUGUGUUAUGAUGGGAGGUUAUUGAUUGCACUUCUAAGCCAUUGUUUUGCUGCAGUUCACAGCUGUGGGGAACAGUCCCCCCCCCCCUUGCUGGCACAUUUCCCCUUGAAGAUUUAUGCUUUUGAUAAAAGCUCACAAUGUUGUCAUGUUUGUUCCAUAAAUCGGGUUUCUUCAACCUGGUUCAGUUUGAUGAAGAAGGCUCGCGUGCCCAACAGAAUUCCAGAAACCGUCAAAUUCAGGGGGAUGAAUGUUGGCUUUUAUGAAAAUCUUAGCUCCCAUUGAAUGGCCAUAGACCAAAAAUUCUGCAGACAAGUCUGAGGAGAGACUGCUGCUUCCCAUUAAUAAAAUUUUUAGCCUCAAGCACCAAAACAGAGUUUUGGCUUUCCUUCCUUAUUCCCUGAGCAAUGGGAAGUUUAAUAACAGAAGGCUACUGAAACAGAGAUGAAGAGCAUCUUCAAACUCUGUACUAUCAUUAUGAAGCACUGAGGUUGCUUUCAAAGUGUGCUCUGAGGGGGCAGGAGUCCUUUGGGGGUUCAUCAGGGGUUCCUCAGUGAACAAAUCACUGAUAGUGAACAAACCUCCUCAAAAGACAGCUUGUCCUCUAAUAUUAAAUCACGUCAUCAACAACCCUCUCCCAAGCUGUUACUGGUCCUACAAAGAAAAAUAUGUUGAUGUGCUUAAUCCACAAGACUAGUUACAACGUCUGGGGGAUGAUAUUGAGAAAAUGGCAAGAUAUGGCUCUUGCUCUGGCACCAUAGCUCUGAUCUAGGUUGUACACAUACCAGUGGUGACUGGUGCACAUUAGGACUGAUAGGGAAGAAGGCAGAGAUGUCAACAGUAGAUGGAAGUAUUGUACAUGUUCAUUCAGUACAACAGAAAGGACAAUCUUGUCCCCUUACCACCAGCUGCCCAUGGCUUCCUCUGGGACAAUCUCUUAAGAUGGAGAGCUGGGCAGUUCUCAAACACAACAAAAAUGUGCACAUGUUUCUCCUCAUAAAGUCAUAUUAAUAUGCCUACACUUUCCCGCAAAUGGAUUCAUUUAUAGUAUCACAGAAUUGUCAUCCAGGCCAACCCCCUGCAAUGCAGGAAUCUCAACUAGAUCAUACAUGACAAGUGGCCAUCCAACCUCUGCUUAAAAACCCUCUCAUGGGAGCCUAUUCCACUAUCAAACAGCUCUUACUGUCAGAAAGUUCUUCCUGAUGUUUAGUCAGAAUCUCCUUUCAGGUUAAAGAAGGCAUAUUAAUGAGGCCUAUUAAUAUGAGUGUAUUAGGAGAAAGAUUAGCUAAAAUGCUGGUGAAUUUUUGUGAAAACUUAAAAAAACAACAUAAAUGGGUUCAGAAAUGUAACAUACCAGACUUAAGCUUGAAAAAACAAGAAACUGAUCAAAGAUCCUGUUGCAUGUCUCAAUGACAGAACUUAAAAUAGGAAAAAAGAGAGUGAUAACAAAAAUUGACAGAUUCAUGCAUCCCUUACACAGAGUGUCACCAAAGAGAAGAUUCUGUUGUGUAUAUGAAUAGCUGAAAUCACUAAGGAAAAACGUUUUC